Molecule: ribosomal RNA, 468 nt
Filed under: uncultured bacterium
Lineage: Bacteria
Description: partial 16S ribosomal RNA
Rfam family: Bacterial small subunit ribosomal RNA
Source: RNAcentral
GACGAACGCUGGCGGCGUGCUUAACACAUGCAAGUCGAACGGCAAGGCCCUGCUUUUGCGGGGUGUUCGAGUGGCGAACGGGUGAGUAACAUGUGAGUAACCUGCCCUUGACUUUGGGAUAACUUCAGGAGACUGGGGCUCAUACCGGAUAGGUGCUCCUCCUGCAUGGUGUGGGUUGGAAAGUAUCGGCGGUUGGGGAUGGACGCGCGGCUUAUCAGCUUGUUGGUGGGGUAGUGGCUUACUCAGGCAUUGACGGGUAGCCGGCCUGAGAGGGUGAGCAGAUACGCUGGACCUGAGAUACGGCCCAGACUCAUACGGGAGGCAACAGUGGGGUGUAUGGCACAGUGAGCGGGAGCCUAAUGCAGCAACGCCGCGUGCGGGGUGACGGCCUUGCGGUUGUGAAGCGCUUUCGCCUGGGAGGUAACGUGAAUGACGGUAAUGGGUAAAGAAGCACCGGCUAACUACGUG